Molecule: long non-coding RNA, 1296 nt
Filed under: Marmota monax (woodchuck)
Lineage: Eukaryota; Metazoa; Chordata; Mammalia; Rodentia; Sciuridae
Source: RNAcentral
UGUAAAAAUGAGCAAAGACAGCGAGUGACAUUUCAUCAAAGAGGGUAUAGGAGGAAAGAGAAUGAAAAGAUUUUCACUAUCAUUAGCUAUUAGAGAAAAACAAAACCACAGUGAUGUAUCACUAUGUACCAAUGAUAAUGACUAAACUAAAAAAUAGUGUUAAUACCAACAAUGAUAAGAAUGUGGAGAAACUAGAUCACUCAAAUUGCUAGUGGGAAUGUAAGAUGGUAUGGUGCAUUUUAAAAACAAAAUGUGUACUUGUCAUAAGACCUAGCAGUUGCACUUGAGCUUUUAUUCCAAAGAAAGGAAAACUUAUGUUCAUGCACCAACCUGUACACAAAUGUAUAUAUUCCCAAUAGCCCCCAAACUAGAAACAACCUUAUCCUUCAGAUAAAGGUUAAAUGGUUUGACAGGAUCUUCAUACUGUGAAAUAUUACUCAGCAACAAAAAGGGAAAGAAAGGAACCAUCAAUAUGUGCAACAACUUGAAAUGUUCUCUAGGAUAUCAUGUAGAAUGAAAAAAAAUCUCAAAUGGUUACAUACCAUUUGAUUUUUCUUUUUUUAAAAUAACAUCCUUAAUUAAAGUUUUUGCAAAGGUAAAAUAAAAUGGCCUUAGCCCAUGAAAAUACUAAGUUUUCUAAUUGUAUUCCAAGAUGGUCUUUAAAACAUAAUAUCCCAUAUGUCACAGAAGAGCAAACUUGAUCUGCAAUUAUACAGAAUGAAUUUUACAAAUAUAAUAAAUAUAUUUAUGCCCUUACGUGAAACAUUAUGUAUAACAGUAGUUGACAAUAGUAGCUCAAAAUAGCAAAAAGUUUAUCUCCUCCCCCCCAAAUUAUGAUUCAUCUUUAUAUAAAAUUCUUAGAUAUCUGUUGCCACAUCUGAAAAUAGGUGUAAGGAUACAUAAUUGUGCAUGUGAUGAUGAGGACCACAUGGGUUAAUGCAAGUACAGUUGAUAUGUUUGCAUUAAAUGAAUGCUGGAGAUGCAAUAAAAUGAAGCAGCAAAGGAAAGGAUUUUAGAUUUUGAAAGUCCCUGUUUCUCACGUCAAGGCAACAAGGACAAUGAAAUUUUCUCAGUAAGUUUCCUCAUCUAUAAAAAAGGAAAUUCACUUAAUUUACUUAUAAAGACUGAAUGACUCAAUGUAGAUAAAGGUCCAAACACAGUAGAUAUGUAAUGAAUUAUAAGUUGUUAGUAAUAUUGAAUAAUAUUUAAAAUUUUUUCUUAAUUCUCUCUUAAUCAUUAACUAAUUAAAGUCUCUUAAUCAUUAAAAAAACUUAGAUACUUAAAAAUUAGAUUUAU